AGAAAUAACGUAAAUAAUUAUGUAAACAUAAGAAACAUAAAUACAAUCGCAUGCAAUAAUAACAAACAGUAACUACCAUACUAACAACCAUAAGGGGGAUAUAAGCUAAAACACAAAUCAUCUAUGGAUAACCCAGCUGUCCCACACCCAACCCCGGGAGAGGCGUACGAAGCACUCUAUGAGCCCAUAGCCUUCAACACUGAUUCUAGACCUCCAGACUCCCCUAUCAAGGGUCAUGUCCUCGGAAACCUGCAU
Molecule: long non-coding RNA, 255 nt
Filed under: Nicotiana benthamiana
Lineage: Eukaryota; Viridiplantae; Streptophyta; Magnoliopsida; Solanales; Solanaceae
Description: long non-coding RNA (NBEN_LNC038195)
Source: RNAcentral